This 328-nucleotide ribosomal RNA is filed under the name uncultured eukaryote. RNAcentral's name for it is "partial 18S ribosomal RNA". It matches the Rfam family "Eukaryotic small subunit ribosomal RNA", at positions 1470 to 1796 of the family's 1831-position model. The record is from RNAcentral.
CCCUUAGAUGUCCUGGGCCGCACGCGCGCUACACUGAUGCAUGCAACGAGUUUAUAACCUUGGCCUGAAAGGUCUGGGUAAUCUUUUGAACGUGCAUCGUGAUAGGGAUAGAUUAUUGCAAUUGUUAAUCUUGGACGAGGAAUUCCUAGUAAACGCGAGUCAUCAGCUCGCAUUGAUUACGUCCCUGCCCUUUGUACACACCGCCCGUCGCACCUACCGAUUGAAUGGUUCGGUGAAGAUCUCGGACUUCGAUAUUUAUUCUUUAUUGAGUUUAUAUUGUGGGAAGUUAUCUAAACCUCAUCAUUUAGAGGAAGGUGAAGUCGUAACA